Molecule: ribosomal RNA, 859 nt
Filed under: Didymocyrtis cladoniicola
Lineage: Eukaryota; Fungi; Ascomycota; Dothideomycetes; Pleosporales; Phaeosphaeriaceae
Description: partial large subunit ribosomal RNA
Rfam family: Eukaryotic large subunit ribosomal RNA
Source: RNAcentral
GGGAUGGCCCUAGUAACGGCGAGUGAAGCGGCAACAGCUCAAAUUUGAAAUCUGGNUCUUUCAGAGUCCGAGUUGUAAUUUGCAGAGGGCGCUUUGGCGUUGGCAGCGGUCCAAGUUCUUUGGAACAGGACGUCACAGAGGGUGAGAAUCCCGUACGUGGUCGCUAGCCUUCGCCGUGUAAAGCCCCUUCGACGAGUCGAGUUGUUUGGGAAUGCAGCUCUAAAUGGGAGGUAAAUUUCUUCUAAAGCUAAAUAUUGGCCAGAGACCGAUAGCGCACAAGUAGAGUGAUCGAAAGAUGAAAAGCACUUUGGAAAGAGAGUCAAAUAGCACGUGAAAUUGUUGAAAGGGAAGCGCUUGCAGCCAGACUUGCCUGUAGUUGCUUAUCCGGACUUUUGUCCGGUGCACUCUUCUGCGGGCAGGCCAGCAUCAGUUUGGGCGGUUGGAUAAAGGUCUCUGUCAUGUACCUCCUUUCGGGGAGGCCUUAUAGGGGAGACGACAUGCAACCAGCCUGGACUGAGGUCCGCGCAUCUGCUAGGAUGCUGGCGUAAUGGCUGUAAGCGGCCCGUCUUGAAACACGGACCAAGGAGUCUAACAUCUAUGCGAGUGUUUGGGUGUCAAGCCCAGACGCGUAAUGAAAGUGAACGGAGGUGGGAACCUUUUAGGUGCACCAUCGACCGAUCCUGAUGUCUUCGGAAGGAUUUGAGUAAGAGCAUGGCUGUUGGGACCCGAAAGAUGGUGAACUAUGCUUGAAUAGGGUGAAGCCAGAGGAAACUCUGGUGGAGGCUCGCAGCGGUUCUGACGUGCAAAUCGAUCGUCAAAUUUGGGCAUAGGGGCGAAAGACUAAUCGAACUAUCUAGUA